RNAcentral lists this ribosomal RNA (374 nucleotides) under uncultured bacterium. RNAcentral describes it as "bacterial SSU rRNA". It matches the Rfam family "Bacterial small subunit ribosomal RNA", at positions 28 to 404 of the family's 1533-position model. The record is from RNAcentral.
GACGAACGCUGGCGGCGUGCUUAACACAUGCAAGUCGAACGGAAAGGCCCUGUCUUGCAGGGUGCUCGAGUGGCGAACGGGUGAGUAACACGUGGGUGAUCUGCCCUGCACUUCGGGAUAAGCCUGGGAAACUGGGUCUAAUACCGGAUAGGACCACGAUCUGCAUGGAUUGUGGUGGAAAGCUAUUGCGGUGUGGGAUGGGCCCGGGCCUAUCAGCUUGUUGUGGGUGAUGGCCUACCAAGGCGACGACGGGUAGCCGGCCUGAGAGGGUGUCCGGCCACACUGGGACUGAGACACGGCCCAGACUCCUACGGGAGGCAGCAGUGGGGAAUCUUGCGCAAUGGGCGAAAGCCUGACGCAGCGACGCCGCGUGA